Long non-coding RNA from Salvia splendens (bonfire salvia), 1687 nucleotides. RefSeq lists it as uncharacterized. Lineage: Eukaryota; Viridiplantae; Streptophyta; Magnoliopsida; Lamiales; Lamiaceae. The transcript is spliced from 2 exons. The record is from RefSeq and is a predicted model, not a curated record.
GAGAACUUCGUCUCCCUCUUUCUUUCCAUUUCCUUAGCGGCCGCCCGAGGCGUCGCGGGGCGAUGCCGGUCGGUCGCUUACGCCCAUAAUUCCUCCGUUGGCUCCUCGUGUUUCCCUUCACGAUAUCGAAUUAAAAACCCAAAAAUUAUAAAAGUGCACAAUUAAAUUAUGGCAAGUAUUUCCCUUUGUUAUGAAAAAUUAUAUGUUUUCCGGGCUUGGGAUAAAUUAUUCAUACUUCAAAUUAUUCGGGAGCAGGAAGCUAAUUAGAUAAUUCCCCACGAUAAAAUAUCAGCCCAAGAAUCAAAUUAAUUAUUUACUUAGCCCAACUUAUUCCUCUAAUUAAAUUAAGAAGCCCAACUACUAUAACUCCAAGAGAGGCCCAAUCUUUAUUUUCUCCAAAUUAAUUUAGGGUCCAACUCCAAAUUUAAAGAGGGAGGCCCAAAAUAUAAGUCAAUUUCAAAAUUGGGCUUCCCUCCAUUUAAAAACCAUUUAAUUUAAGCCCAGUCAUUAAAUUUCGAAAUGGGCCUCUUAUUCCCUAUGCCUUGUAGCUCCAAUUUAAUUAGGAGCAGUUGGGCUUGAUUUUCAUAGUUGCAUGCCCAAUAGAUAAAUCAACAAAAGUGCAGCCCCCAAAUUCUAAUUUUAAUUAACUCAUGUAUGAUGUACUCCUUCCACCCUCGGUUUCUCUCUCUACCUACACUAUUUAAUCUCCUUCCCCAAUUUGCACAAAAAUUAGGGAAAAAUCUCUCUUCUUUCCGUCGACCAACCACCCCACCAGCGCCUCCUCCUCCUCCGUCUCCAUCUCCGUCUCCGUCUCCGUCUCCGGCGGUGUUCCCUUCCCCCCCUCAUCUCUCUCUCUCUCUCUCCCUCUUUCUCACGCCGCCGCCGCCCCGCUCUUUCUCUCCAGAUUCGCCGCCGUGGAGUCACCGAAGCCGAGCAGCAGCGCUGAGUCAGGCGCCUGCUGUCGCUGCUCCGUCGCCGCCGGGAGAUGCUGCUUUUGCUGCCGGGAGACGCGACGCAGCUGCCGGGAGGCGCUGCUGUAGCCGCUGCUGUCCCAGCCUGCCGGUCAGCUUCCGAUUGACUCCGAGUCCACCCCGAACCGACACCGCGCAGUUCCGAGCAACUCCGAACAGCCCCGAAACGUCCCGAAACUAACCCGUUCAGCCCCGAAAGAUAAGUUCCCUUUACCAAGUUCUUUCGCAUUUCGAAUUAAUCGUGGGAGUGUUCAAUUGUGUUAAUUGCUUGAGUUAUGCGAUUAGUUCGGAUGAUGGUAUGUUUAUGCAUAAACUGAUGAUUGAAACUCGAAAUUGGGAAAGGAUUUUACCUCGAUAAUCCGAUAUCGAUUGUGAAAUUGUAGGACCGAAAGGAGUAGCCCACUGGAUUUUGCAGAUUCAGUUUCUGUCAAAAUUUUACAUAUUUGAUUUCCAAAAGGAGUGCGAAAUUGUGCUAUUAACGGAGGAAGAACGUAAAAAGAGAGAAGAAUAGACUGAGGAGAAGAUUUAAUAGAGAGGGAUGGCGGUUUGGAGGAAAAUAUCUUAGAUUUUUUUUUAUAUAUUAAUUUACUAACUUGGUGACCAAGUUAGAUUAUUUUAAAUUUUUUUUUCUUUUUUUUUUUUUUCCGGUUGUUACAACUUUACUAAUUUUACGUUACAACUGGUAUUAUCCAAUACUAAAACUAAUUUUUUGUGAA